GAUGAACGCUAGCGGCAGCAUACAUGCAAGACGAACGGUAAGUUGAGUAGCAAUACUUAGCCAAGAGUGUCGUACGGUUGCGUACACGUAUGCAACCUACCCUAUACAGGAGGAUAGCCUAGGGAACCUGGAUUAACCCUUCAUAGUAUUAUUGGAUGGCAUCAUUUGAUAAUUAAAACUGAGGUGGUAUAGGAUGGGCAUGCGUCUGAUUAGUUAGUUGGCGGGGUAAUGGCCCACCAAGACGAUGAUCAGUAGGGUUCUGAGAGGAAGAUCCCCCACACUGGCACUGAGAUACGGGCCAGACUCCUACGGGAGCAGCAGUAGGGAAUAUUGGUCAAUGGAUGCAAGUCUGAACCAGCCAUGCCGCGUGCAGGAAGAA
RNAcentral lists this ribosomal RNA (379 nucleotides) under uncultured bacterium. RNAcentral's name for it is "bacterial SSU rRNA". It matches the Rfam family "Bacterial small subunit ribosomal RNA", at positions 28 to 412 of the family's 1533-position model. The record is from RNAcentral.